Molecule: unclassified non-coding RNA, 397 nt
Filed under: soil metagenome
Description: partial contains 5.8S ribosomal RNA, internal transcribed spacer 2, and large subunit ribosomal RNA
Rfam family: 5.8S ribosomal RNA (bases 1-122)
Source: RNAcentral
GAUGAAGAACGUAGCGAAAUGCGAUACUUGGUGUGAAUUGCAGAAUCCCGUGAACCAUCGAGUCUUUGAACGCAAGUUGCGCCCGAAGCCAUCAGGUUGAGGGCACGUCUGCCUGGGCGUCACAUAUCGUUGCUCGAUGCCUAUCGCAUUGCGAUAGGACUUAGGGCGAAUGAUGGCUUCCCGUGAGCGUUGUUGCCUCGCGGUUGGUUGAAAAUCGAGUCCUUGGUAGGGUGUGCCAUGAUGGAUGGUGGUUGAGUGAUGAUGCUCGAGACCAAUCAUGGGUAACUCCACCAGAAUUGGGCUCGGUGACCCACAUGCGUCCCUUGGAUGCUCCCUAAGGAGACCUCAGGUCAGGCGGGGCUACCCGCUGAGUUUAAGCAUAUCAAUAAGCGGAGGA